RNAcentral lists this ribosomal RNA (453 nucleotides) under Triticum aestivum (bread wheat). Its description in RNAcentral is "partial small subunit ribosomal RNA". The record is from RNAcentral. Lineage: Eukaryota; Viridiplantae; Streptophyta; Magnoliopsida; Poales; Poaceae.
AUGCAUAAUAUUGUACAUGCUGAGAUAGAAGAUAUUGAUGUCACAAUUAAACUUGCCAAUAGAGAUACUAUUUCACCAAUUGGAAUUGUUAGAGAUGUUGAAGUCUUGUGUGGGAAAACUAAAUACCCUGCUGAUUUUCUUGUUCUUGGUUCCUCACAAGAUAGCUUUUGUCCCAUUAUAUUUGGUAGACCCUUCUUGAACAUUGUUAAUGCUAAGAUAGAUUGCAAAAAGGAUGUUGUUACUAUUGGUUUAGGUGAUAUGUCUCAUGAAUUUAAUUUCUCUAAAUUUCAUAGACAACACCGUGAAGAGGAAUUGCCUAGUAAAGAUGAAAUUAUUGGUCUUGCUUCUAUUGUCGUACCUCCUAGUGAUCCUUUAGAACAAUAUUUGCUAGGCCAUGAAAAUGAUAUAUUUAUGAAUGAAAUAGGGGAAAUAGAUGAAGUAUUCUUUAAAUAG